This 1909-nucleotide unclassified non-coding RNA is filed under the name Leishmania donovani. RNAcentral describes it as "gene:LdHU3.33.3150(CDS-product:hypothetical_prote in_conserved)". Lineage: Eukaryota; Euglenozoa; Kinetoplastea; Trypanosomatida; Trypanosomatidae. The record is from RNAcentral.
AAAAAGCAAAACAAACAGAAGCGCACCAUCAACCACGCACUGACGCACUUUUUUUUUGCGUGGCGUGCUGUUCUUUCUCCAGCCCCUUGCUCUCCAUCGCACCUCGCUCCCGUACCCUUUUUGCGACGUCCCUCAUGACCUCUGUGUCGUCCUCUGCCACUGCUGUGGCAGAGCAGCAGGCCAUGCCCUCGGCCGACACCAUUCAGCAGCUCCAGGAGGCUUUCUCUUUUGUGCGUCACGAACGCGAAGACGUUCGCAAGAUGGCGAUUCGCGGCAUCGCCGCGCACAGCAAGGAGAACCGCGAUCUCUGGCUCUUUCUAGCAUCCCCGCAGUACGGCCGCAGCUGCAUUGACUCCCUCCUCCAGUACCUGCACGCAGGCGGCAAGCCCGUGCUGGGCGACAUCCUGACAAUCCUUGUCAACUGCUCAGCCGAUGGCAGCUGCGCCGAGAUGCUGGUGCAGCGCAAGGUGGUGCGCAAGGCAAUGCGGCUGCUGGAUGGGAUGGAGCGGAGCGAUCAGCCGGAGCCGUACGUGCGCAGCGUGCAGGAGCUGACGCUGAUGCUGCUGAACAACCUCACGUCCAGCCACGUGACCGCCAUCGACGACUUUUUGCAAAGGGACGACGAGGACAUGCGCGGCUUCUACCUCGGAAAGCUGCAGGUGUACUACGAGCGCUUUCUCAGCGCCAUGGAGGCGGAGGCAGCGAAGAAGGCGGAGGACGAGGAGGCGGCGGCGCAAGCCGGUGAUAACUCGGCGAAGCCAAAGCCGGCCUCGUCGCUAGCCUCGUCGCACCGCGACUUGAGUCGGUGGAUCCUCCACAUCCUCCUGAACCUCACCCGCACGCUCGACGGCCAGGAGCUGCUGCUCGAGGACGAAGACUGGCGCGGGACCUUAAGCAGCUCGCUUUCGUCGCCGAACCCGCGCCAUCGCUCUCUCGCUGCACAGUGCUACCGCAACUGCGGUUGCUCUCCCAAGCCGCUCUACGGCUUAAUACUGAAGAGUGACGCGCUUGUGACGGCGGUGGACCGGCUUAAUUGCAAGGAGCCGAUCGAGGAUAUUCAGAGGAGCCUAGCAGAGUUCAUUGCCAGCAUGCUCGAGUCCGAGGAUGGCAUGGCGCGGCUGGAGAGCGUGAACGCGAAGAGGGUGCUCUCGGAGGCACUCGGUGCUUCCCAGGCCGCGCACGCCGCGAAGGCGGCGGCCACAGCAGCCAGCUGCGUCGAGAUGGCUGAGGAUGACGGCGUACCGGUCGCCGCGACGGCGACGGUCACGCUAGCCCCCAGCGUCAUCGAGUUCCUCCAGCAGAGCGUGUUGCCCUACCUGGAAGACAUCGUGGACGCCUACAUUGCCCCUGGAAGCGACGAACUCGAUUGAGCUGACGGCCGUGUGCUAGUCGUAUCCUCGUUCACGGGAGGGGCGGGGUGCGCGCUGGUGGACGAUCCGGUGGUUGUUUGGCUCGAUUACGUUUAAGCAAGGUGGACGCUAACGCUGCAGAUAACACCGAAAAGGAGAGAAAGGAUGAUGUCGCCCAUGCGCAGCAGUAGGGCAACGGUAACAAACCUAUUCAAACACACAACGCAACAGUUGACUCAGCCGCGUUCGCGUCUAAAAGAAGUCGUUGCUGAUGGUGCUGCUGCGUCGCGAGCCACCCCAUCAAUCCCGCGCCAACUCCUCACAGCAGGCAUCGCAAAACACGCACAUGCGCAAUCAACUUAGAUACGUGUCUUGCGUUUAUGAGCAAGAAAAAGAGAGGAGAACAUGAAAAAGAGCUUUCAUCACAUCCUCCAUCUUCCUCCUACCCCUAACGGCUUACUACGACGGUGCUCUCGGCAUGUGUCUCUUUCUCCGUCCUCACCAUCACACACACCCUCGCCCCCUCCCUCCCCCGCUCUGGACUCCCCAAACACAUGCAG